CAUACCUAAAAACAAUAUCAAACAACAGCACUUCAAUCUAAGAGAACAAAUGUCUCUUCAGACACAGGAUUGUAAGUGGAAUAUGAGCUACUAAAGAUUAACAUGGAUGUGGAGUGAGACAGGGGAAAGGAGUAACUGUCGUGUCUUAAGAUCAAAAACUUACAAGAAUAUUCUAAGUUUUUGGUCCAUGAAAAAUCAGGAGGAAACAAGGUCUGGAGGUCUCUUACAUGCCUUGAAAAACAGGAGAUGGGCCUCCUUAGAGGAAAGCAGCCACAGAAAGACUGUAGAGGCCUCAUGUAGAGGCCAGUGGAGAGCUCUCUUCCUUAGACCUGGGUUCUUUUGCUUAUUGAUUUGCAGUUCUUAUAUACCCAGGAGGGUAACCAUCUCAGGGUCUCCCCCUGGAACUUGCACAUUGGCACAUGUGCAGAGCUCACGUGGCUGCCUGCUUCACAGAACGCAAUGGGGACCAAACCACCUGUGUGUGCUGGGCAUGUCCAGAAUGCCUAGACCUAAUGAUUUAUGAGAAAUAAGUCAAGUCUCCCAUGAAGACAGCUAUGGGUUUGUCAACAGCUCAACUGUAAUGUGAAACAAACACAUAAGAUCAUCUUUCUUUCAACUUGAACACAGCAGCUAAUGAAAUGAGCCUUCACAAUUUAAAAGCUUCAGGACAAACUUUGUGUGGCCGUUCACACUGGGUAGUCCCAAGUUUUAGGAUGCAAAGGCAAGAGGAUCGCUUGAGCCUAGAAGUCGGGGGCCAGCCUGGGCAAUACAGCGAAUGAAACCGUUUUUUUUUUUUUUUUUUUUAAAGCUUCAUGACAAAACAUGGCACUGUUUCUUCAAAAGAGCUGCCUUAUACCACAUUACCUGAUUA
Molecule: long non-coding RNA, 871 nt
Organism: Ictidomys tridecemlineatus (thirteen-lined ground squirrel)
Lineage: Eukaryota; Metazoa; Chordata; Mammalia; Rodentia; Sciuridae
Source: RefSeq, a predicted model, not a curated record